RNAcentral lists this ribosomal RNA (497 nucleotides) under uncultured bacterium. Its description in RNAcentral is "partial 16S ribosomal RNA". It matches the Rfam family "Bacterial small subunit ribosomal RNA", at positions 28 to 507 of the family's 1533-position model. The record is from RNAcentral.
GGUGAACGCUGGCGGCGUGCCUAAUACAUGCAAGUCGAGCGAACAGACGAGGAGCUUGCUCCUCUGACGUUAGCGGCGGACGGGUGAGUAACACGUGGAUAACCUACCUAUAAUACUGGGAUAACUUCGGGAAACCGGAGCUACUACCGGAUAAUAUAUUGAACCGCAUGGUUCAAUAGUGAAAGACGGUUUUGCUGUCACUUAUAGAUGGAUCCGCGCCGCAUUAGCUAGUUGGUAAGGUACCGGCUUACCAAGGCAACGAUGCGUAGCCGACCUGAGAGGGUGAUCGGCCACACUGGAACUGAGACACGGUCCAGACUCCUACGGGAGGCAGCAGUAGGGAAUCUUCCGCAAAGGGCGAAAGCCUGACGGAGCAACGCCGCGUGAGUGAUGAAGGUCUUCGGAUCGUAAAACUCUGUUAUUAGGGAAGAACAAAUGUGUAAGUAACUAUGCACGUCUUGACGGUACCUAAUCAGAAAGCCACGGCUAACUACGUG